This 498-nucleotide ribosomal RNA is filed under the name uncultured bacterium. Its description in RNAcentral is "bacterial SSU rRNA". It matches the Rfam family "Bacterial small subunit ribosomal RNA", at positions 32 to 507 of the family's 1533-position model. The record is from RNAcentral.
AACGCUGGCGGCGUGCUUAACACAUGCAAGUCGAACGAGACGAUUGAAAGCUUGCUUUUGAAAGUCGAGUGGCAAACGGGUGAGUAACGCGUAGACAACCUGCCGUAAAGAUGGGGACAACAGUUCGAAAGGACUGCUAAUACCGAAUGUUGUAGAGUUUCCGCAUGGGAAUCCUACUAAAGGUGGCCUCUACUUGUAAGCUAUCACUUUACGAUGGGUCUGCGUCUGAUUAGCUAGUUGGUGGGGUAACGGCCUACCAUGGCGAUGAUCAGUAGGGGGCGUCAGAGCGUGGUCCCCCACACUGGCACUGAGAUACGGGCCAGACUCCUACGGGAGGCAGCAGUAGGGAAUAUUGGGCAAUGGAUGCAAGUCUGACCCAGCCAUGCCGCGUGAAGGAAGAAGGUCCUCUGGAUUGUAAACUUCUUUUAUCGGGGAAGAAGAAUCACCUUGCGAGGUGAAGUGACGGUACCCGAUGAAUAAGCCACGGCUAACUACGUG